This 530-nucleotide ribosomal RNA is filed under the name uncultured bacterium. Its description in RNAcentral is "bacterial SSU rRNA". It matches the Rfam family "Bacterial small subunit ribosomal RNA", at positions 82 to 608 of the family's 1533-position model. The record is from RNAcentral.
GUUAUGCUGACGAGUGGCGAACGGGUGAGUAAUAUAUCGGAACGUGCCCAGUCGUGGGGGAUAACUACUCGAAAGAGUAGCUAAUACCGCAUACGACCUGAGGGUGAAAGCGGGGGAUCGCAAGACCUCGCGCGAUUGGAGCGGCCGAUAUCAGAUUAGGUAGUUGGUGGGGUAAAGGCCCACCAAGCCAACGAUCUGUAGCUGGUCUGAGAGGACGACCAGCCACACUGGGACUGAGACACGGCCCAGACUCCUACGGGAGGCAGCAGUGGGGAAUUUUGGACAAUGGGCGCAAGCCUGAUCCAGCCAUGCCGCGUGCGGGAAGAAGGCCUUCGGGUUGUAAACCGCUUUUGUCAGGGAAGAAAAGGUUCUGGUUAAUACCUGGGACUCAUGACGGUACCUGAAGAAUAAGCACCGGCUAACUACGUGCCAGCAGCCGCGGUAAUACGUAGGGUGCAAGCGCUAAUCGGAAUUACUGGGCGUAAAGCGUGCGCAGGCGGUUAUGCAAGACAGAGGUGAAAUCCCCGGGC